GACGAACGCUGGCGGCGUGCUUAACACAUGCAAGUCGAGCGGUAAGGCCCUUUCGGGGGUACGACGGCGGGCGAACGGGUAGGAGUAACAACGUGGGUGGACCUCGCCCUCCAGCUCUGGGAGUAAGCCUCGGGAAACCGGGUACUAAUACUGGAUAUGACUCCAUGACGCAUGUUGUGGGGUGGAAAGCCUUGUGCGGCUGAGGAUGGGCCCGCGGCCUAUCAGCUUGUUGGUGGGGUGAUGGCCUACCAAGGCGACGACGGGUAGCCGGCCUGAGAGGGCGACCGGCCACACUGGGACUGAGACACGGCCCAGACUCCUACGGGAGGCAGCA
This 334-nucleotide ribosomal RNA is filed under the name uncultured bacterium. RNAcentral's name for it is "bacterial SSU rRNA". It matches the Rfam family "Bacterial small subunit ribosomal RNA", at positions 28 to 353 of the family's 1533-position model. The record is from RNAcentral.